Coregonus clupeaformis (lake whitefish) is the source of this 241-nucleotide long non-coding RNA. RefSeq lists it as uncharacterized. NCBI's taxonomy places the organism in Eukaryota, Metazoa, Chordata, Actinopteri, Salmoniformes, Salmonidae. The record is from RefSeq and is a predicted model, not a curated record. The transcript has 3 exons.
GACGGGGAAGAGAGAAAGGAAGAUGAAAAUAAGUGUGUGAAGGAAGCAAGGGAAGGAGACAGGAGAGAGCUCCUGAAAGAAAAGAGACUAAGUGCAGAAGAAAAUAUGACACACAUGGAGAAACAAAUGAGAGAGCUGGAGGUCAAAGAUUCCUCCAUCUUCUCAGCUGGUGCUGAGGUCAAACAGACCCAGUGCAAAGAUGUCUCCAUGGUUACUGCAACUGAGUCAAAGACUCUGAACC